Pelobates cultripes (western spadefoot toad) is the source of this 303-nucleotide non-coding RNA. NCBI's taxonomy places the organism in Eukaryota, Metazoa, Chordata, Amphibia, Anura, Pelobatidae. The record is from the annotation of a GenBank genome assembly.
CCUAAAACCCUCACCCCCUGGCAGCCCCCGGACCCAAACACUGCUGCCCUAGAACCCUCACCCCCAGAACCAAUCACUAGUGCCUUAGAACCCUCAAUAACUGACAGCACCCAGACCCCCUGGUUACUGGCACCCUGUCAAUUUACACACUCUAGGAGUCAACAGUCUGACCUUCACAGCCAGAUCAGACCCUGUUAGCCCUCUGACACCAGAAGUCAGCCUGCAGGCCUCCUAUCCCGAGCAGCCACCCUGCAGCCCCUGACAGAGGACCCUCACACGCUGACAGUCAGUAUGAAAGCUGGC